UUAAGCAUAUCAAUAAGCGGAGGAAAAGAAACCAACCGGGAUUGCCUCAGUAACGGCGAGUGAAGCGGCAAGAGCUCAAAUUUGAAAUCUGGCCCCUCCGGGGUCCGAGUUGUAAUUUGCAGAGGAUGCUUCGGGUGCGGCCCCUGUCUAAGUGCCCUGGAACGGGCCGUCAGAGAGGGUGAGAAUCCCGUCUUGGGCAGGGUGCCCGUGCCCGUGUGAAGCUCCUUCGACGAGUCGAGUUGUUUGGGAAUGCAGCUCUAAAUGGGUGGUAAAUUUCAUCUAAAGCUAAAUACCGGCCGGAGACCGAUAGCGCACAAGUAGAGUGAUCGAAAGAUGAAAAGCACUUUGAAAAGAGAGUUAAACAGCACGUGAAAUUGUUGAAAGGGAAGCGCUUGCGACCAGACUCGGCCCCGGGGUUCAGCCAGCACUCGUGCUGGUGUACUUCCCCGGGGGCGGGCCAGCGUCGGUUUGGGCGGCCGGUCAAAGGCCCCAGGAAUGUGUCGCCCUCCGGGGCGUCUUAUAGCCUGGGGUGCAAUGCGGCCAGCCCGGACCGAGGAACGCGCUUCGGCACGGACGCUGGCGUAAUGGUCGCAAACGACCCGUCUUGAAACACGGACCAAGGAGUCUAACAUCUACGCGAGUGUUCGGGUGUCAAACCCGUACGCGCAGUGAAAGCGAACGGAGGUGGGAGCCCCGCAAGGGGCGCACCAUCGACCGAUCCUGAUGUCUUCGGAUGGAUUUGAGUAAGAGCGUAGCUGUGGGGACCCGAAAGAUGGUGAACUAUGCCUGAAUAGGGCGAAGCCAGAGGAAACUCUGGUGGAGGCUCGCAGCGGUUCUGACGUGCAAAUCGAUCGUCAAAUUUGGGUAUAGGGGCGAAAGACUAAUCGAACCAUCUGGUAGCUGGUUCCUGCCGAAGUUCCCCUCAGGAA
This 929-nucleotide ribosomal RNA is filed under the name Aspergillus keveii. RNAcentral describes it as "LSU rRNA". It matches the Rfam family "Eukaryotic large subunit ribosomal RNA", at positions 34 to 979 of the family's 3401-position model. Lineage: Eukaryota; Fungi; Ascomycota; Eurotiomycetes; Eurotiales; Aspergillaceae. The record is from RNAcentral.